RNAcentral lists this ribosomal RNA (467 nucleotides) under uncultured bacterium. RNAcentral describes it as "partial 16S ribosomal RNA". It matches the Rfam family "Bacterial small subunit ribosomal RNA", at positions 28 to 507 of the family's 1533-position model. The record is from RNAcentral.
GACGAACGCUGGCGGCGUGCUUAACACAUGCAAGUCGAACGGAAAGGCUCCAGCUUGCUGGAGUACUCGAGUGGCGAACGGGUGAGUAACACGUGGGUAAUCUGCCCUGCACUCUGGGAUAAGCCUGGGAAACUGGGUCUAAUACUGGAUAUGACCUUUCUCCUUAUGGGGUUUGGUGGAAAGUUUUUCGGUGUAGGAUGAGCCCGCGGCCUAUCAGCUUGUUGGUGGGGUGAUGGCCUACCAAGGCGUCGACGGGUAGCCGGCCUGAGAGGGUGAUCGGCCACAUUGGGACUGAGAUACGGCCCAGACUCCUACGGGAGGCAGCAGUGGGGAAUAUUGCACAAUGGGCGGAAGCCUGAUGCAGCGACGCCGCGUGAGGGAUGACGGCCUUCGGGGUGUAAACCUCUUUCAGCAGGGACGAAGCGUAAGUGACGGUACCUGCAGAAGAAGCACCGGCUAACUAUGUG